Molecule: non-coding RNA, 31 nt
Filed under: Homo sapiens (human)
Lineage: Eukaryota; Metazoa; Chordata; Mammalia; Primates; Hominidae
Source: RNAcentral
GAGCAGGAAGAGGUUGCUGAGAUUGUUGGAA